RNAcentral lists this ribosomal RNA (3148 nucleotides) under Streptomyces antibioticus. Its description in RNAcentral is "23S ribosomal RNA". It matches the Rfam family "Bacterial large subunit ribosomal RNA". Lineage: Bacteria; Bacillati; Actinomycetota; Actinomycetes; Kitasatosporales; Streptomycetaceae. The record is from RNAcentral.
ACAGUGGACGCGAGCAUCUGUGGCCAAGUUUUUAAGGGCGCACGGUGGAUGCCUUGGCACCAGGAACCGAUGAAGGACGUGGGAGGCCACGAUAGUCCCCGGGGAGUCGUCAACCAGGCUUUGAUCCGGGGGUUUCCGAAUGGGGAAACCCGGCAGUCGUCAUGGGCUGUCACCCGCUGCUGAACACAUAGGCAGUGUGGAGGGAACGAGGGGAAGUGAAACAUCUCAGUACCCUCAGGAAGAGAAAACAACCGUGAUUCCGGGAGUAGUGGCGAGCGAAACCGGAUGAGGCCAAACCGUAUACGUGUGAGACCCGGCAGGGGUUGCGUGUGCGGGGUUGUGGGAUCUCUCUUCYRYSGUCUGCCGGCSRYRGGACGAGUCAGAAACCGUUGAUGUAGGCGAAGGACAUGCGAAAGGUCCGGCGUAGAGGGUAAGACCCCCGUAGUCGAAACGUCAGCGGCUCGUUUGAGAGACACCCAAGUAGCACGGGGCCCGAGAAAUCCCGUGUGAAUCUGGCGGGACCACCCGCUAAGCCUAAAUAUUCCCUGGUGACCGAUAGCGGAUAGUACCGUGAGGGAAUGGUGAAAAGUACCGCGGGAGCGGAGUGAAAUAGUACCUGAAACCGUGUGCCUACAAGCCGUGGGAGCGUCGGAWMWSWGCUUGCWSWKWUCUCGUGACUGCGUGCCUUUUGAAGAAUGAGCCUGCGAGUUUGCGGUGUGUUGCGAGGUUAACCCGGGUGGGGUAGCCGUAGCGAAAGCGAGUCCGAACAGGGCGRYUUUAGUAGCACGCUCAAGACCCGAAGCGGAGUGAUCUAGCCAUGGGCAGGUUGAAGCGGAGGUAAGACUUCGUGGAGGACCGAACCCACCAGGGUUGAAAACCUGGGGGAUGACCUGUGGUUAGGGGUGAAAGGCCAAUCAAACUCCGUGAUAGCUGGUUCUCCCCGAAAUGCAUUUAGGUGCAGCGUCGUGUGUUUCUUGCCGGAGGUAGAGCACUGGAUAGGCGAUGGGCCCUACCGGGUUACUGACCUUAGCCAAACUCCGAAUGCCGGUAAGUGAGAGCGCGGCAGUGAGACUGUGGGGGAUAAGCUCCAUGGUCGAGAGGGAAACAGCCCAGAGCAUCGACUAAGGCCCCUAAGCGUACGCUAAGUGGGAAAGGAUGUGGAGUCGCAGAGACAACCAGGAGGUUGGCUUAGAAGCAGCCACCCUUGAAAGAGUGCGUAAUAGCUCACUGGUCUAGUGAUUCCGCGCCGACAAUGUAGCGGGGCUCAAGCGUACCGCCGAAGUCGUGUCAUUSMWRYAAYASGSCCAACGSCKNYWKKGAUGGGUAGGGGAGCGUCGUGUGCCGGGUGAAGCYGCGCCGGAAGGCAGUGGUGGACGGUUCACGAGUGAGAAUGCAGGCAUGAGUAGCGAUUCACACGUGAGAAACGUGUGCGCCGAUUGACUAAGGGUUCCUGGGUCAAGCUGAUCUGCCCAGGGUAAGUCGGGACCUAAGGCGAGGCCGACAGGCGUAGUCGAUGGAUAACCGGUUGAUAUUCCGGUACCCGCUGUGAAGCGUCAAACAUCGAACCHRKYRAUGCUAAGKCCGUGAAGCCGYYCCGGASCCUUCGGGGMAAGGRRAGUGGUGGAGCCGMYGRMCCARRSUKGYAGUAGGUGAGUGAUGGGGUGACGCAGGAAGGUAGUCCAGCCCGGGCGGUGGUUGUCCCGGGGUAAGGGUGUAGSMCGWSAKGUAGGCAAAUCCGCCWSWCAYWKAGKSUGAGACCUGAUGCCGAGCCGAUUGUGGUGAAGUGGAUGAUCCUAUGCUGUCGAGAAAAGCCUCUAGCGAGUUUCAUGGCGGCCCGUACCCUAAACCGACUCAGGUGGUCAGGUAGAGAAUACCGAGGCGUUCGGGUGAACUAUGGUUAAGGAACUCGGCAAAAUGCCCCCGUAACUUCGGGAGAAGGGGGGCCAYVHYUGGUGAGRRSACUUGCUSYYCGAGCUGGGGGUGGCCGCAGAGACCAGCGAGAAGCGACUGUUUACUAAAAACACAGGUCCGUGCGAAGCCGUAAGGCGAUGUAUACGGACUGACGCCUGCCCGGUGCUGGAACGUUAAGGGGACCGGUUAGUCAVKMUUCGKSKUGGCGAAGCUGAGAACUUAAGCGCCAGUAAACGGCGGUGGUAACUAUAACCAUCCUAAGGUAGCGAAAUUCCUUGUCGGGUAAGUUCCGACCUGCACGAAUGGCGUAACGACUUCUCGACUGUCUCAACCAUAGGCCCGGUGAAAUUGCACUACGAGUAAAGAUGCUCGUUUCGCGCAGCAGGACGGAAAGACCCCGGGACCUUUACUACAGUUUGAUAUUGGUGUUCGGUUCGGCUUGUGUAGGAUAGGUGGGAGACUGUGAAGCUUGGACGCCAGUUCAGGUGGAGUCGUCGUUGAAAUACCACUCUGGUCGUGCUGGAUGUCUAACCUGGGUCCGUGAUCCGGAUCAGGGACAGUGUCUGAUGGGUAGUUUAACUGGGGCGGUUGCCUCCUAAAGGGUAACGGAGGCGCCCAAAGGUUCCCUCAGCCUGGUUGGCAAUCAGGUGUUGAGUGUAAGUGCACAAGGGAGCUUGACUGUGAGACCGACGGGUCGAGCAGGGACGAAAGUCGGGACUAGUGAUCCGGCGGUGGCUUGUGGAAGCGCCGUCGCUCAACGGAUAAAAGGUACCCCGGGGAUAACAGGCUGAUCUUCCCCAAGAGUCCAUAUCGACGGGAUGGUUUGGCACCUCGAUGUCGGCUCGUCGCAUCCUGGGGCUGGAGUCGGUCCCAAGGGUUGGGCUGUUCGCCCAUUAAAGCGGUACGCGAGCUGGGUUUAGAACGUCGUGAGACAGUUCGGUCCCUAUCCGCUGUGCGCGUAGGAGUCUUGAGAAGGGCUGUCCCUAGUACGAGAGGACCGGGACGGACGAACCUCUGGUGUGCCAGUUGUUCUGCCAAGGGCAUGGCUGGUUGGCUACGUUCGGGAGGGAUAACCGCUGAAAGCAUCUAAGCGGGAAGCCUGCUUCGAGAUGAGGACUCCCACCCACUUGAUGGGGUAAGGCUCCCAGUAGACGACUGGGUUGAUAGGCCGGAUCUGGAAGCACGGUAACGUGUGGAGGUGACCGGUACUAAUAGGCCGAGGGCUUGUCCUCAGUUG